This 615-nucleotide ribosomal RNA is filed under the name Triticum aestivum (bread wheat). RNAcentral describes it as "partial small subunit ribosomal RNA". Lineage: Eukaryota; Viridiplantae; Streptophyta; Magnoliopsida; Poales; Poaceae. The record is from RNAcentral.
AUGAAUGUGAACGGUCUAGGUGCUUCUUUUACAAAUAACCCCUCAACCACGCAGGGAAGGCGUCUAUUUAUGGAGAUUAGAUCUUCGAUGCCAUUCCCCACCAUGCAGAAAUCCUUAGAAGUCGCCAUAGGAAAUUUUCCAAACAUGGUCGGCGCUCCUAGAUCAUCCUCACGCCCCCUCGGCCCUCAAAAAGGCGACUGGGAAAGCUGCUCGGUAUCCCGCGCCCAUCUGAAUAAACUUCAGACGCAGGGAUAUCUUCCUCCCGCAGAUCUAGUCUUCGUUUGGGCUGGAUUAACUUCCAUCAAUGGCGAAGCCCUGGCGGAGAAUUUCCCCAAUCCUUCUAAAGAGGAGCGGGUGUGCUUCGUUUCCUUCCUUUUGAGAGGCAUAGGAUUUCCUAUCCAUCCUUUCCUCAGAGGUCUCCUGGAGUAUUAUGGUCUCCAACUGCACAAUCUGACGCCGGGCUCCAUCCUGCACAUCGCGGGAUUCAUUGCUCUUUGCGAGCUGCUCCUAGGUUGUGAGGCUCAUUUUGAGCUAUGCGGAAAUGUUUCUGCCUCAUCCCCCGCUCCCAAAAGGGAUCUAUAUUCAAGGUGGGUGGCGCUGAAGUAUGGCGCCUAG